AAGGGAGACCUAAUUCAGGUAUUAGGCGAAAAAAAAGUAGUCCCUACCAAGAAUCAAUCCCAAAAGGUCGGAACGAGGUUGGAGGCUUUCAAACUAGGUUCUGGGUUCAAACAAGACCUGAAUCAGGAACAAGGGCUAUUAGCUCAGGUGGUUAGAGCGCACCCCUGAUAAGGGUGAGGUCCCUGGUUCGAGUCCAGGAUGGCCCACCUGCACAGGUGGCAAAAACAAAGAAGCGAGGAAUCAGCACCUUAUCUUACUUAUAUAGUAAGAGAGAAUGCUGGCUCUGAGUAAAGAGUCCAGAGGAACCUUGAAAACUGCAUAGAGCUAGGUGAAAAAGCCAAAAAAGAAGACCGCAA
Molecule: transfer RNA, 356 nt
Filed under: Microcystis aeruginosa
Lineage: Bacteria; Bacillati; Cyanobacteriota; Cyanophyceae; Chroococcales; Microcystaceae
Description: 16S-23S ribosomal RNA intergenic spacer
Rfam family: tRNA (bases 133-206)
Source: RNAcentral